CCUACGGGAGGCAGCAGUGGGGAAUAUUGCACAAUGGGGGAAACCCUGAUGCAGCGACGCCGCGUGAGUGAAGAAGUAUUUCGUUAUGUAAAGCUCUAUCAGCAGGGAAGAAAAUGACGGUACCUGACUAAGAAGCCCCGGCUAACUACGUGCCAGCAGCCGCGGUAAUACGUAGGGGGCAAGCGUUAUCCGGAUUUACUGGGUGUAAAGGGAGCGUAGGCGGCUGUGCAAGUCUGGAGUGAAAGGCGGGGGCUCAACCCCCGGACGGCUUUGGAAACUGUACGGCUGGAGUGCAGGAGAGGUAAGUGGAAGUCGUGGUGUAGCAGUGAAAUGCGUAGAUAUUAGGAGGAACACCAGUGGCGAAGGCGGCUUACUGGACAGUAACUGACGUUGAGGCUCGAAAGCGUGGGGAGCAAACAGGAUUAGAUACCCCUGGAGUC
This 440-nucleotide ribosomal RNA is filed under the name uncultured bacterium. RNAcentral describes it as "partial 16S ribosomal RNA". It matches the Rfam family "Bacterial small subunit ribosomal RNA", at positions 338 to 795 of the family's 1533-position model. The record is from RNAcentral.